This 354-nucleotide ribosomal RNA is filed under the name uncultured Smithella sp. RNAcentral's name for it is "bacterial SSU rRNA". It matches the Rfam family "Bacterial small subunit ribosomal RNA", at positions 1027 to 1382 of the family's 1533-position model. The record is from RNAcentral. Lineage: Bacteria; Pseudomonadati; Thermodesulfobacteriota; Syntrophia; Syntrophales; Smithellaceae.
UCCGGUGACAGGUGCUGCAUGGCUGUCGUCAGCUCGUGUCGUGAGAUGUUGGGUUAAGUCCCGCAACGAGCGCAACCCUUGUCUUUAAUUGCCAUCAUUCAGUUGGGCACUUUAAAGAGACUGCCGGUGUUAAGCCGGAGGAAGGUGGGAUGACGUCAAGUCCUCAUGGCCUUUAUGCCCAGGGCUACACACGUGCUACAAUGGGCGGUACAAAGAGAAGCAAUCUCGCGAGGGUGAGCAAAUCUCAAAAAGCCGUUCUCAGUUCAGAUUGUAGGCUGCAACCCGCCUGCAUGAAGAUGGAGUUGCUAGUAACCGCAGGUCAGCUAUACUGCGGUGAAUACGUUCCCGGGGCUU